RNAcentral lists this ribosomal RNA (597 nucleotides) under uncultured bacterium. RNAcentral describes it as "bacterial SSU rRNA". It matches the Rfam family "Bacterial small subunit ribosomal RNA", at positions 338 to 951 of the family's 1533-position model. The record is from RNAcentral.
CCUACGGGAGGCAGCAGUGGGGAAUCUUGCGCAAUGGGCGAAAGCCUGACGCAGCCAUGCCGCGUGAAUGAUGAAGGUCUUAGGAUUGUAAAAUUCUUUCACCGGGGACGAUAAUGACGGUACCCGGAGAAGAAGCCCCGGCUAACUUCGUGCCAGCAGCCGCGGUAAUACGAAGGGGGCUAGCGUUGCUCGGAAUUACUGGGCGUAAAGGGAGCGUAGGCGGAUAGUUUAGUCAGAGGUGAAAGCCCAGGGCUCAACCUUGGAAUUGCCUUUGAUACUGGCUAUCUUGAGUGUGGGAGAGGUAUGUGGAACUCCGAGUGUAGAGGUGAAAUUCGUAGAUAUUCGGAAGAACACCAGUGGCGAAGGCGACAUACUGGCCCAUUACUGACGCUGAGGCUCGAAAGCGUGGGGAGCAAACAGGAUUAGAUACCCUGGUAGUCCACGCUGUAAACGAUGAGUGCUAGUUGUCGGCAGGCAUGCCUGUCGGUGACGCAGCUACGCAUAAGACACUCCGCCGUCGGGAGGUACGGUCGCGAGAAUUAAACUACAAGAAGUAGACGCGNGAGACGUGCCGACGGACGACGACGAGGGAGUAGG